Molecule: unclassified non-coding RNA, 383 nt
Filed under: Hevea brasiliensis (rubber tree)
Lineage: Eukaryota; Viridiplantae; Streptophyta; Magnoliopsida; Malpighiales; Euphorbiaceae
Source: RNAcentral
UAAGCCAACUAAUGAACAACGUCUUGUCGUUCAAACUUUAAGUGAGGUCGAUAUUGUGAAUGAUGGAUACCGUUGGCGCAAAUAUGGGCAGAAAUUGGUUAAAGGCAAUCCAAAUCCAAGGAGCUACUACAGGUGCUCCAGUCCUGGAUGCCCCGUUAAGAAACAUGUAGAGAGGGCAUCUCAUGACCCAAAAGUGGUUAUAACCAGUUACGAGGGACAACAUGAUCACGAUGUACCUCCUUCAAGGACAGUAACUCAUAAUGCAACUGGUCUAAGCACAUAUACUACUAACAUCCACAUUGGUGAAUCAGGCGUUAAAUCAGGAGGGAGUGAUGGGAUUGUUCACAAGAGUUUGGAUCCAAGUGGAAACUCAGAGGAGCAAC